This 29-nucleotide ribosomal RNA is filed under the name Timgrovea sp. H5655. Its description in RNAcentral is "partial 18S ribosomal RNA". Lineage: Eukaryota; Fungi; Basidiomycota; Agaricomycetes; Agaricales; Bolbitiaceae. The record is from RNAcentral.
UGUAACAAGGUUUCCGCCUAAGAUCAUUA